RNAcentral lists this unclassified non-coding RNA (334 nucleotides) under soil metagenome. RNAcentral describes it as "partial contains 5.8S ribosomal RNA, internal transcribed spacer 2, and large subunit ribosomal RNA". The stretch from base 1 to 120 matches the Rfam family "5.8S ribosomal RNA", at positions 35 to 154 of the family's 154-position model. The record is from RNAcentral.
GAUGAAGAACGCAGCGAAAUGCGAUAAGUAAUGUGAAUUGCAGAAUUCAGUGAAUCAUCGAAUCUUUGAACGCACAUUGCGCCCGCCAGUAUUCUGGCGGGCGUGCCUGUUCGAGCGUCAUUUCAACCAUCAAGCCCCCGGCUUGUGUUGGGGACCUGCGGCUGCCGCAGGCCCUGAAAUGCAGUGGCGGGCUCGCUGUCACUCCGAGCGUAGUAGUUACAUCUCGCUCUGGGCGUGCUGCGGGUUCCGGCCGUUAAAAGCCUUAUUUACCCAAGGUUGACCUCGGAUCAGGUAGGAAGACCCGCUGAACUUAAGCAUAUCAAUAAGCGGAGGA